CCGGUUGAUCCUGCCGGACCUGACUGCUAUCGGAUUGAUACUAAGCCAUGCGAGUCAUUGUAGCAAUACAAGGCAGACGGCUCAGUAACGCGUAGUCAAUCUACCCUAUGGACGGGAAUAACCUCGGGAAACUGAGAAUAAUACCCGACAGAACAUUAUACCUGGAACGGUUUAUGUUUCAAAUGAUUUAUCGCCGUAGGAUGGGACUGCGGCCUAUCAGUUUGUUGGCGAGGUAAUGGCUCACCAAGCCUAUUAUCGGUAAGGGCCGUGAGAGCGGGAGCCCUGAGAUGGGUACUGAGACAAGGACCCAGGCCUUACGAGGCGCAGCAGGCGCGAAAACUUAACCAUGCACGAAAGUGUGAUUAGGUUACCUGGAGUGCUAAAGGUAGAACUUUUAGCUGUUAUAGAGUGUAGAUAACUCUAUGAGAAAGGAGAGGGCAAGGCUGGUGCCAGCCGCCGCGGUAACACCAGCUCUUCAAGUGGUCGGGACUAUUAUCGGGCUUAAAGUGUCCGUAGCCGGUUUGGUAAGUCCCUGGUUAAAGCUGGAAGCUUAACUUUCAGUUCGCUAGGGAAACUACCUUACUAGAGGGCGGGAAAGGUGUGAGGUACUCCAGGGGUAGCGGUGAAAUGCGAUAAUCCUUGGGGGACCACCAGUGGCGAAGGCGUCAGACUGGAACGCGCCUGACGGUGAGGGACGAAAGCCAGGGGAGCGAACGGGAUUAGAUACCCCGGUAGUCCUGGCUGUAAACGAUGCGCGCUAGGUGUUGGUAGGGCUAUGAGCUAUAUCAGUGCCGUAGAGAAAUCGUUAAGCGUGCCGCCUGGGAAGUACGCUCGCAAGAGUGAAACUUAAAGGAAUUGGCGGGGGAGCACCACAAGGGGUGAAGCCUGCGGUUCAAUUGGAUUCAACGCCGGG
RNAcentral lists this ribosomal RNA (913 nucleotides) under uncultured archaeon. RNAcentral's name for it is "partial 16S ribosomal RNA". It matches the Rfam family "Archaeal small subunit ribosomal RNA", at positions 4 to 922 of the family's 1478-position model. The record is from RNAcentral.